This is a long non-coding RNA of Pecten maximus, 1075 nucleotides long. RefSeq lists it as uncharacterized. The transcript has 2 exons. The record is from RefSeq and is a predicted model, not a curated record. Lineage: Eukaryota; Metazoa; Mollusca; Bivalvia; Pectinida; Pectinidae.
UGUGUAUAUAAUUGUUGAUUAUAAAUGCCUUUGGCUAUCUCGAGCUUGAACAUUCUUAGUAUAUUUUGUUUAGCAUAGUUUAGUAGAUUGAAAAUGUAUGCUUAAGGCUGAUAUAACAAAUGUUGUUUGCUUAAAGUUAGUUUAGAUAAUCAUGCAUACUUAAUCUACUAUAGAUAUAUUAUAGUUAGAUUUAAUGAACACUUUAUGAAAACAUGGAACUCAUUCCUAUGAUGGAUACUUAAUUUUCUUUUUUUAAUUAACAUAUCUAUUGAAGUUACUUUAACUAUUUUACAUCUAAGUUUUAAAGGUUUAGAACAUUCUCCUGUUUUCGAAAAUACUCAGAAACUACCUCAAUCCGUGCAAUGGUGUCUAUGACUACAAAAUGUUGAUUCUAUAUGUUUAUUUUACAGAUUAGUUCCAUACUUAUAAACUGAUGAAAAAUAGAUUUAUAUAUCUGAUCUCAAUCUAUGCAAUGGUGCCUAUGACUGCAAAAUGUUGAUUCUAAUAAUAUGUUUAUUUUACAGAUUAGUUCCAUACUUAUAAACUUACUUAUAAACUGAUGAAAAAUAGUUGUAUAUAUUUGAUGAUUUUGUAGACUUUAGAUAACUUUAUAUUUGUUGAAGUUUUUUUUUUUUUUUUUUAUAAGUAUACUCAAACAUAUUUUAUGGUAAAAUUUAAUGGUGUUAUGCUUGUUUUUUUUUUUUUCCUGAAACCCUUAACACUUUUGGUUGUCUUGGUUUUAAGUAUUUUUUCCAUUGUUUAUAUUCUAGCUCAAAAUACUCUUGAUUUACUAAUGUUGUAAUUGAUAUUUUAACAAGCAAACUGUUUUAUGUAAACUUCUACUAACAUGUGCCACAUAGAAAGAAAUCCAUAUUUUUCCAUUGUUUAUGUUCUACCUCAAAAUACUCUGGGUUUAAAAAUGUUGUUAUUGAUAUUUUAACAAGCAAAAUGUUUUAUGUAAACUUCUACCAACAUGUGCCACAUAACAAAGAAAUCCAGUUUUAUCUUGCCUUACUGUUGAUUUUAUUGCCAAAUCGAUGUAUAUAUUUUGUUGAUUAAAUUUGUUGCAUUUGAA